UACGAAGGGGGCUAGCGUUGCUCGGAAUUACUGGGCGUAAAGCGCACGUAGGCGGCUCUUUAAGUCGGGGGUGAAAUCCUGGAGCUCAACUCCAGAACUGCCUUCGAUACUGAAGAGCUCGAGUCCGGGAGAGGUGAGUGGAACUGCGAGUGUAGAGGUGAAAUUCGUAGAUAUUCGGAAGAACACCAGUGGCGAAGGCGGCUCACUGGCCCGUUACCGACGCUCAGGCGCGACAGCGUGGGGAGCAAACAGG
RNAcentral lists this ribosomal RNA (253 nucleotides) under uncultured bacterium. Its description in RNAcentral is "partial 16S ribosomal RNA". It matches the Rfam family "Bacterial small subunit ribosomal RNA", at positions 524 to 776 of the family's 1533-position model. The record is from RNAcentral.